Molecule: ribosomal RNA, 657 nt
Filed under: uncultured bacterium
Lineage: Bacteria
Description: bacterial SSU rRNA
Rfam family: Bacterial small subunit ribosomal RNA
Source: RNAcentral
AGUGGCGAACGGGCGAGUAACACGUAAUCAAGCUGCCCGCGAGACGGGGAUAACCUCGGGAAACCGAGGCUAAUACCCGAUGGUCUACCGUGAUCGCAUGGUCGUGGUAGUAAAUGAACGGGAUCCUCCGGGACCGUUCGCUUGCGGAGGUGAUUGCGGCCCAUCAGCUUGUUGGUAGGGUAACGGCCUACCAAGGCGACGACGGGUAGCCGGCCUUAGAGGGUGGUCGGUCGCACUGGGACUGAGACACUGCCCAGACUCCUACGGGAGGCUGCAGUCGAGAAUCUUCCGCAAUGGACGCAAGUCUGACGGAGCGACGCCGCGUGUAGGAUGAAGGCCCUCGGGUUGUAAACUACUGUCACGAGUUAAGAACGGUCUACGGCGAACAGUCGUAGGCUUUGACAAAGGCUCGAGAGGAAGCACUGGCUAACUCUGUGCCAGCAGCCGCGGUAAUACAGAGAGUGCAAACGUUGUUCGGAAUCACUGGGCUUAAAGCGCGCGUAGGCGGCAUUGUAAGUGUCGGGUGAAAUCCCACGGCUCACCCGUGGAACUGCCCGGCAGACUGCAGUGCUAGAGUGUGGUAGGGGAGAGCGGAACUCCUGGUGGAGCGGUGAAAUGCGUANAUAUCAGGAGGAACACCGGUGGCGAAGCGGCUCU